CUUUGGGGUGUGACUGCGUACCUUUUGUAUAAUGGGUCAGCGACUUAUAUUCUGUAGCAAGGUUAACCGUAUAGGGGAGCCGGAGGGAAACCGAGUCUUAACCGGGCGUUAAGUUGCAGGGUAUAGACCCGAAACCCGGUGAUCUAGCCAUGGGCAGGUUGAAGGUUGGGUAACACUAACUGGAGGACCGAACCGACUAAUGUUGAAAAAUUAGCGGAUGACCUGUGGCUGGGGGUGAAAGGCCAAUCAAACCGGGAGAUAGCUGGUUCUCCCCGAAAGCUAUUUAGGUAGCGCCUCGUGAAUUCAUCUCCGGGGGUAGAGCACUGUUUCGGCUAGGGGGCCAUCCCGGCUUACCAACCCGAUGCAAACUGCGAAUACCGGAGAAUGUUAUCACGGGAGACACACGGCGGGUGCUAACGUCCGUCGUGAAGAGGGAAACAACCCAGACCGCCAGCUAAGGUCCCAAAGUCAUGGUUAAGUGGGAAACGAUGUGGGAAGGCCCAGACAGCCAGGAUGUUGGCUUAGAAGCAGCCAUCAUUUAAAGAAAGCGUAAUAGCUCACUGGUCGAGUCGGCCUGCGCGGAAGAUGUAACGGGGCUAAACCAUGCACCGAAGCUGCGGCAGCGACGCUGAUGCGUUGUUGGGUAGGGGAGCGUUCUGUAAGCCUGCGAAGG
This 673-nucleotide ribosomal RNA is filed under the name Salmonella enterica. RNAcentral describes it as "partial 23S ribosomal RNA". It matches the Rfam family "Bacterial large subunit ribosomal RNA", at positions 583 to 1256 of the family's 2925-position model. The record is from RNAcentral. Lineage: Bacteria; Pseudomonadati; Pseudomonadota; Gammaproteobacteria; Enterobacterales; Enterobacteriaceae.